This 754-nucleotide long non-coding RNA is filed under the name Populus trichocarpa (black cottonwood). RNAcentral describes it as "long non-coding RNA (PTRI_LNC000071)". The record is from RNAcentral. Lineage: Eukaryota; Viridiplantae; Streptophyta; Magnoliopsida; Malpighiales; Salicaceae.
GGGGAGGUUCUUCUCUAACCGAAGCAAGGAACAAAGCAACAAAAGAAAUAUAUAUUUUUCAAGUACUGAUGAUGGAACCGCGUUGAGUUGUCUCGCAACACUGACCACCAAUCCUUCAAGCAAUGGAGAUUCAACAAUCUUUUACAAAGAUAGAAAUUACUGGUCACUUUUGACUUUGAAAUCCUCCCUUUGGUAAGUGAAGCCAGAACCAUUAACUGGCAUGAUAAUUAACGAAGGAUCGAUGAGAUAUUGCCCCAGCUCAGGCGCCCUCAUGUGAUCAUGCAACGACGUCCUGGACGGUGAGUGGCCUGAUCUUCCACAGGUUCCACGCCAUGUCGCUUUCAUUCCCAAUACCAUAUAUAUAAUUUUCGUUUAUGGAAUCUUCCACAGGGCUUACGGGUUUAAUUAUGCGUCCAAGACCAUCUCACUGACUAGCUAGUAACAUCGGACUCUUAUGGCUUAGCAGAGUGAAUUCCUGUAUUAACUUGGUGCUUGGAAGAGGAUGACUGUGUCAUAUAUUUCAAUUGAAGCAAAAAAUGAGAGAAAAAUAAUUAAAGGUCAUGAUGAGUGAGAAAGCUACAGGACACGAUCGAAGUCUCUCUCAAAAAUAGCUGGAGAAACGGGCUUGUGUUGAGCUAGCUGGCAGUGCUCGUAAAUGAAGAAUGGAUAGAGCAGCAAUUGCAUGCUGGAGAAUAUUACAGUUGGUGCAUGGUUCCAUUACCCUCCCUUUCAAGGUAUGGCCAUCAAUACAGCC